This is a long non-coding RNA of Equus caballus (horse), 4958 nucleotides long. The record is from Ensembl. Lineage: Eukaryota; Metazoa; Chordata; Mammalia; Perissodactyla; Equidae.
GACGUCUGAGCUGGACGUGGAGAACAAGCAGUGUGCUGGGCAGAAGGGAGGCAGGGAGCCAGUGGACGGUAGGGUCACCCCACGGUGCAGAGGCAUGGGCAACAGCCGAGCCUCCGGGAGACAGCAGGGAGAGGGGUGAAGUGGGAAGUCAGCCCAUUGGGGCCCCAGUCCUCCUGACAUCAUCCGGAAGGCAAUGGGAAGAUGUGGAAGCUAGUGCAGCCCCUGAGCAGUGCAGCCAGACUUGUGUUCUAGAAAGAUCCAUCUCGCUGCUGAGUGGGAAGGACAGGAGGAGGGGCCGCCAGAGGCGUGGGACUGCCAGGAGCUGACACAUCAUUCAGGCAGAGCUGAGGAGGACGAGGGCUCAGCGAUUCAAAGACUGCAGACAAGGACUCUUCCUCCUGCCACACGUUCGCAGGGCUGGCCGGGCCCGAGGGGACGGAACCCGUCUCCGCCAGCCCAGCCCAGAAUGGCCCUGCUGUGGAAGGGGGCCGCCUGGUGAAGGACACCACCGCCUCCUUGAGAAGUGCUCGGGGUGGAGAGGGUUGGGCAGGAGAGGUCUAGCGUCUCCGAUUUCCUCCAGGGCCCAGGAAUCCAUCUGCCCGUCCGGAGCUCAGCAUCCCCGCCAGCGCCCUGCCCGGGAAACGCACCCAGGGGACAGCACCCGUGGGCUCAGGAGCAGGAGGCCUCUGCUACCUGGCUGUGACAGAGGACACCGAGCAGUGCCAGGAGGGAGCCCCACGGCCUCGCCAACAGAACGCUUGUCAUCAAUCAUGCCCCUCUGUAAGCAUUCAACGCCACCCUGGAAGCCACUGGACAAGCCACCAUUCCCACUUCCAGGGAGGAAACUGAGGCACAAGGAGGCAGUCACCGGCCCCGACCCACACAGGCUGGUGGGCUUACAUGGGUCAGUGCUGUGCUACAUCCCACGACUGCCCGCCCCCCACCCAGGGGCCACCUCCGUGGAGCGGCCAGAGGGUUCGGGUUCCAGUUCCUAAUAGACUUGGGCCACUUUUGUUCCCGCAGAUGUCCUGCCCUCAAGUAUCAACGUUGAAGUCCAUGUGAGUGGGUCCCUGAACAGGGCAGGGCAGCCCCCCGCCCCCAGGACAGGCCAGAGGCCAGGCCGGGCCCUCCAGGAGGUGUGGCCCUGGGAGGCUGUGUCCCCGGACAUGGGCUGGGCCGGUGAGCACAGAGCAGACCCCUCGCCUCCGUCCCAGGGUUUUCCAUGCCCGUGGAUGAGGCCCAGCUGCCGCUGGGGAGCAGGGGGCCCAGCCCAGCCCCGGCCCCAGACCUGCGGGCAAAGGGAGGGAUUUGGGAGCGUCCCCAGAGCAGCCCACACCUGCCUUGCACAGGCAGCGGCUGUUUCUUUUCCAAACGUGAAGCCACAGGGCAUUUUUUAACAGAGAAAAUGCGCUCGUGGUGGCGAGAGAAAAGGCUCUGUAAUGGGUAGAGGCCAGCAGGCAAAAUGGAAUUUUUUGAACCGUUAAGCCUGGAGGGGGGAGGGGGGCGGUGAAGAAACGUCCCAGGAGGCCCCAGAGGAGGAGGCCUGUCUGGCGUCUGGGCCCUGCGUCCCUGGUGUCACAGUAUGGUCUGAAGGAAGCUCAGGGCAUGCCACGCCAGGCUGGCUGGCUCUUUGCACAAGCAAGCCUGAAAGACUCAAGGCUGUCUGCACCCGGCAGGGGGGCGUCAGGCCCAGCGAAAGGAGGAGGAGGCGGUGGGCGCGGCGUGGAGGGAAGCCCUCUGGGCAGGCCACGCCCUGCUUCCCCAGGCUCCACUUACAGAGCAGGCCAGGGCUGAGGGACCCAGACGCCCAGAGGGGGCCGGAGCCGUCUGAGGCCUCGCAGUGGACGAGGCGCCAGGCUGGGGCCAGAAGCCAGGCGGCCCCCUGCUGCAGAGAGCCGACAUCUUGGGGGCCGGUCCAGUGGUCCUUGCAGUAGCCCCCAGGUGGGCCAGAGCCAUGAUGACAGCCAUGAUCUGCUCGCACGCCCAGGGCCCCUCGUCCCCGUGAAGGGCCUCUGCACACCCAGGUUCCGUGGAUUCAGGGGCCUCACGUACCGCCCGCCUCAAAAGUGUCCCAUCUCCGUCCUCCCUCCGCAAGACUGGACUUCCACCACGGCCUCGCUCCGGGGGCUGAGGCAGGGCCCCAGGCUGCUCCCCACUGAAAUGCAGAUGCUCCCAAUGUGAGCCCUCAGCUCGCACCUCCUGCAGCUGCGUUAAGCAAGAGCCCGGGAGGAAUGAGGGCUGCAUCUUCCUCAGACCCCCUGCCCCUCUGGGCCUGGAUUUAAGGACCCUUCAUAAAUCGCGUCCUCAAACCUUCUCUCCUGAACAGGAAGAGCCACUCUUCUUCGGUCAUAUUUCCCUUUUUGCCCUGGCCACUAAGAAGCUCUGCACUGCACUCGGGGCCAACCAUAUGGCCAUUCUGCCUGCCUCCCCACUUGAGCCUGCCGCCAGGGUUGGCUUGUCUUUCCAUUUCCCAUCUGUCUUCCUUGAUAUGUGGGAGUCCUGGCGAAGCCCCUCACACCUUGGCGUCCACCUUCAUCUGCCCUAGCCCGCACCGGCCUGCUCUGAGCCUGAGCCCAGCUGGCCCUUUAAGAAGCUGGGGGCUGCUGCUGGCACAGUGCACAGUUGGCCCAGCGCGCAGACGGGCACGUUCCUGAUCUUUCUGGAAGGCUGAGUUGGAGAGGAGACAAAAUGUUCUUGCACAGCUUGGCCUCUACGAGACUCGACCCCAGAGGAGGGCAUCUCCACUCCGGAGGGAUCCCCCAUUCCUCAUUCAUUCCCCUGGCAGGAAGCAGAACCUUCUGGAAGGCGCAGAGGUGACCCGCCCUGGCUGUGAACCUUGCUGUCCGGCUACGGCCGUGCUCAAGGAUGUGUCCAGGACCACUGACUGGCCGGUCCACAGCAGGACCUGUGUCAUCUGCCCAAAGCAACACGGCUAGUUAAAAGUUUUAUUGAUUGAACACAGUUGAGCAACAGAGGUGAGAGAUUCGGCUCUCCUCGCGGUAUCUUCUUUUCCAAACACAUGAUUUUCCUUGAAGUCAAAAAGAGCUUCCAUAAACAGCCGACCCACAGUUCACAGAGCACCCCAGCAGGCACGGUCCCCAGAGGGACUGCCGACACCCGGAGUCCAUCCAGGCCACGGCCACGGCCUGGGAUCAGCCCAAAACUGGUGGAGCCCAUUAAGGGUCACGACCUGGUAAUUUAUAAAGCACCCACUGUGUCCAUGGUCCACGGGGCCACAAAGGCCACCAGUUCGCUUCCUGGGAGGAGCUUACCUUUGGAAGCUAAAACUGUGACAGCUCUGCACCCAAGCAGGGGGCUCCGGGAAGAGGGGCCUUUCCAAAGGCUUCUGGGAGGAGGCGGAGAUGGCCCGGGGCUCCACAGACGGGGGAGAUUCAGAAGCUGGGUCCAAGUGACAGGAGAGCCCAGUGUCCUCGCUACACCACGUAGCAUGUCACCUGACCUCCGGGAGCCUCAGUUUCCUUUCAAAUGGGACUCACGUCAGUACCUCCCUCAGAGUCAGGGUCAGUGGGCUCUCCUCGCUGACCCACCCCCCGGGCCAGCCUCCUGGGCUCCUGCCCACCAGGGAAAAGGAAGAAACGAGGCCACGGGAACUUUGUCUCCUGCCACGUGGAAGCAGCCAGCCGUGGUGAGGCCACACACUGUCACACAGACUUCAGAUGCCAGAGAACCAAGAGGGCGUCCAGCAGGGUGAGGCCCUGUGGCCUGCUGCCUGGUGGGGUUCUGGGACUCCGGGAAACUGUGCUGCCACCGGCGCCCCAGGUUGGCCUCAGACCGGGCUGGCGGAGCCGCCCAGUGUUUGAAACCUCGCUUGACUGGCAAUAGCCGGCCUGCCAAGGAAUCUGCAGAUCUCCACAUUCAUGAAUGCCCUGUGGGGUGUGACCCCGUGAGACGCAGGCAGGGGUCACAGAGAAGCGCCUGCGAGCCCCCCUCCUGAUAAGCCACACGAGUGAAGGGGAGUGGUCCUCAGAGCACUGGGCUCUUCUUGGCUGGGCCGGCUGCUUCUUCCAAGGAGCAGCUUGCCUGGGGUCCAGAUGCCCAAGCCCCUGAUGAGGAUCCAGCCACGGAAUGACAGGGCUGGACAGUGGGCCCGGGCCCAUCGCUGGAGCCACACACUGGCCCCGGCGCCCAGUUCCCCACCAUAGCUGGAGCAAAAGGCAAAAGCCACCUCCCCAAUCUGUGUUGAGACUUCACGGACGGCAGAACAGUGCCGGGCUCUGCUCCCGCCCGCCAGCCUGUGCCACCUCCUCCGUCAGAGCGGGCUCCUCCAGCAUCCAUCCCUUUUCAGGCCACCUCCUAGAGACCAGCUGGCCACCCGUCUACAGCAGCCCACCUCGGCCCCUCGGGCAUCCCCUUGCGGCCUCCUCUCAAAGCGCUAAGCUGUCUCUAAGUUGGCCUGCUCUGUGAUCUGAUCCGUGUUCAUCUUCUGCCUCCGUGGGGCCUGACACGCUCCUGCUGCAUCUCCCGAGCCGAGAGCCCUGGAGGGAGGUCACUAUCUGCUGAAUGACGACUGAAUGUUGAAAAGGAAAAUGCUCUGUGACCAACACACCUGAGUUGAAUCCCAGCCCUGCUGCUGCCUUGUGACCGCGGGCCAGUUACUUAAUCUUUCUAGUCCAUAAAACAGAGAGAGUGAUGCCGAGGUCCCCAGGCCAGCGCCCUCUCCCCUCCUCUCUGCCUGCCCACAAUCCUCAGAAUGACAGGAUUGAUUCAAAGGCCUUGGUGCCACCGCCACCCCAAAGGCAAAAGCUGCAGUCGCUCUGCUCCCUCGGUGCCCGGGCGCUCUCAGGAGAGGCUCCGAUGUGUUGACACGAGGGCAUUGUGGGCACCAAAAUAAUCCGAUUGCACUUGGAGAGAGGGAGAGCGAGGGGGAGGGAUCAUCGAGCAUCAGACAGGCAGCUAUUCUCCAGGAGGCCAUUUCAUCGUUCUUUCUCAUAUUCCCG